AGCGAACGCUAGCGGCGGGCCUAACACAUGCAAGUCGAGCGGAGAACUUCGGUUCUUAGCGGCGGACGGGUGAGUAACGCGUAGGUAAUGUGCCUUCUGGUGGGGAACAACCGUGCGAAAGCAUGGCUAAUACCGCAUAUGUCGAGAGAUGAAAGCCUUCGGGCGCCAGUAGAGCAGCCUGCGUCCCAUUAUUUAGUCCUAGUUGGUGAGGUAACGGCUCACCAAGGGUACGAUGGGUAGCUGGUCUGAGAGGAUGAUCAGCCACACUGGAACUGAGACACGGUCCAGACUCCUACGGGAGGCAGCAGUGGGGAAUAUUGCGCAAUGGGCGAAAGCCUGACGCAGCCACGCCGUGUGAGUGAUGAAGGCCUCGGUGUAAG
This 380-nucleotide ribosomal RNA is filed under the name uncultured bacterium. RNAcentral's name for it is "bacterial SSU rRNA". It matches the Rfam family "Bacterial small subunit ribosomal RNA", at positions 29 to 429 of the family's 1533-position model. The record is from RNAcentral.